GUGAAUCAUCGAAUCUUUGAACGCAUAUUGCGCCCCGUGGUAUUCCACAGGGCAUACCUGUUCGAGCGUCAUUCUCACCAGUCAAGCCUAGCUUGGUGUUGGAGCAUGGACUUGCAGCUCUCAAAGAUAGUAGCGGUCUGUAGGGACUCUUAGCGUAGUAGUACCUCUCGCUUCUGGGUCCUAUACUGGCUUGUUAAGCCUACCUACUUCUUUAGUUGACCUCGGAUCAGGUACGGAUACCCGCUGAACUUAAGCAUAUCAAUAAGCGGAGGA
Molecule: unclassified non-coding RNA, 273 nt
Filed under: Cistella sp.
Lineage: Eukaryota; Fungi; Ascomycota; Leotiomycetes; Helotiales
Description: partial contains 5.8S ribosomal RNA, internal transcribed spacer 2, and large subunit ribosomal RNA
Rfam family: 5.8S ribosomal RNA (bases 1-71)
Source: RNAcentral